This 586-nucleotide ribosomal RNA is filed under the name uncultured bacterium. Its description in RNAcentral is "partial 16S ribosomal RNA". It matches the Rfam family "Bacterial small subunit ribosomal RNA", at positions 355 to 1375 of the family's 1533-position model. The record is from RNAcentral.
UGGGGAAUUUUGGACAAUGGGCGAAAGCCUGAUCCAGCAAUGCCGCGUGUGUGAAGAAGGCCUUCGGGUUGUAAAGCACUUUUGUCCGGAAAGAAAUCCUUGGCUCUAAUACAGUCGGGGGAUGACGGUACCGGAAGAAUAAGCACCGGCUAACUACGUGCCAGCAGCCGCGGUAAUACGUAGGGUGCAAGCGUUAAUCGGAAUUACUGGGCGUAAAGCGUGCGCAGGCGGUUUGCUAAGACCGAUGUGAAAUCCCCGGGCUCAACCUGGGAACUGCAUUGGUGACUGGCAGGCUAGAGUAUGGCAGAGGGGGGUAGAAUUCCACGUGUAGCAGUGAAAUGCGUAGAGAUGUGGAGGAAUACCGAUGGCGAAGGCAGCCCCCUGGGCAAUACUGACGCUCAUGCACGAAAAGCGUGGGGAGCAAACAGGAUUAGAUACCCUGGUAGUCCACGCCCUAAAACGAUGUCAACUAGUUGUUGGGGAUUCAUUUCCUUAGUAACGUAGCUAACGCGUGAAGUUGACCGCCUGGGGAGUACGGCCGCAAGAUUAAAACUCAAAUGAAUUGACGGGGUCAUAGCUGUUUCCU